This 1469-nucleotide long non-coding RNA is filed under the name Malus domestica (apple). RNAcentral describes it as "long non-coding RNA (MDOM_LNC008641)". The record is from RNAcentral. Lineage: Eukaryota; Viridiplantae; Streptophyta; Magnoliopsida; Rosales; Rosaceae.
AUAUAUAUAUAUAUAUUAUGUGCCUAAUAUAUUAUUGAUUUAUGCAACCUGUCAUUUAUCAAACAAUUGAAUAAAUCAUUUAUUCAUGAUUAUAUAUAUAUACACACACAUUUAGGCAAUACCUAAUAUAUUAUUGAUUUAUGCAACAUGUCAUUUAUCACACAACAGAAUAAAUCAUUUAUUCAUAAAAGGCACAUAACAAUUUGAUUUAUUCAGUCAUACUUAUACUGUCAUUUAUUGUCAGGAAUUAUUGAGCAACCAGCUCUACUGAUCUACAUUGUCGCCGAUUAAAGAAGUCUGACAACUUGUAGACUGACGGGCCACAUGCUCAUAUCAUUUGGCAACUUGUCACCCUUAUCACCAACCAGGUGAAGAAGGAACACACCUUCAUGCCACCAACUAGUUGAAGAAAUGUACAACCCGUACUCUAAAUAUCAUUUGGCAACUUGCCACCCUUAUCACCAACCAGGUGAAGAAGGAACACACCUUUAUGCCACCAAUCAGGUGAAGAAAUGUACAACCCGUACUCUAAAUAUCAUUUGGCAACUUGCCACUCUUAUCACCAACUAGGUGAAGAAGGAAUGCACCUUCAUGCCACCAACCAGGUGAAGAAAUGUACAACCCGUACUCCAAUAUCAUUUGGCAACUUGCCACUUUUAUCACCAACUAGGUGAAGAAGGAACACACAUUUAUACUCAUUCAUACAUAACAAAACAUUCAUGAGCAUCACUCAUGUCAAUCAACAUAAACAUCAUACAUUUCAACACAUUCAUGAGCAUCACUCAUGUCAAUCAACAUAAACAUCAUACAUUUCAACACAUUCAUACACAAGCCAACUGAGCUUCGAAAUGGUUCAACAUAUUCCGUAUCAUUUGGCACUUGGUACAAUGCGCCACGACACCUUGCCCUUAUUUUCACUUCGGCCCACACAUGGACUGGAUUUGAAGUCUCCAGCCAAAAGACUCUCUUGAUUGAAGACUUGGGGGACUACACUGUUGGUACCCUAUUUGGGCCUCGUUAUUGGGCCUCGGGACACUAAGCCCACAUUUUAUGUAAGAGGGGAGAGAGCCCUUAUUCUAAAAAGGGACUCUCCACCCUUAUCCACGAGCAUUGACUCUAGCCAAGUAGCCUUACAACGAGCACCGCCUUCAGCCGAGCGAUCGCCAGGACAACAUCUAGUCACUUCGGCCCACAUAUGGACUAGAUUUGAAGUCUCCAGCCAAAAGACUCUUUUGACUGAAGACUUGGGGGACUACUGUUGGUACCAUAUUAUAUUGGGCCUCGUUACUUGGGCCUCGGUACAUUAAGCCCACGAUAUAUGUAAAAGGAUGAGCCCCUUAUUCUAUAAAAGGGGACUCCUCCCCCUCAUAAAAAGGAGGUCUCAUCCUCACAUACAGAAGCCAUAAAGCUCACAAACAGAGAAACUCUCUCAAACUCUCUCUUUCUCUGGAGGGGACUCCCUCUCCCUC